This 374-nucleotide ribosomal RNA is filed under the name uncultured Halobacterium sp. Its description in RNAcentral is "bacterial SSU rRNA". It matches the Rfam family "Archaeal small subunit ribosomal RNA", at positions 1 to 371 of the family's 1478-position model. The record is from RNAcentral. Lineage: Archaea; Methanobacteriati; Methanobacteriota; Halobacteria; Halobacteriales; Halobacteriaceae.
AUUCCGGUUGAUCCUGCCGGAGGCCAUUGCUAUUGGAGUCCGAUUUAGCCAUGCUAGUCGCACGAGUUCAGACUCGCGGCGAACAGCUCAGUAACACGUGGCCAAUCUCCCCCACAGCGACGGACACCCUCGGGAAGCUGAGGCCAAUCCGCCAUACACCUCUCACGCUGGAGUGCCGAGAGGCUCAAUCGCUCUUCGGAGUGCUGUGGGAUGAGGCUGCGGCCGAUUAGGUAGACGGUGGGGUAACGGCCCACCGUGCCCAUAAUCGGUACGGGUCGUGAAAGCGAGAACCCGGAGACGGAAUCUGAGACAAGAUUCCGGGCCCUACGGGGCGCAGCAGGCGCGAAACCUUUUACACUGCACGCCAGUGCGAU